CAUGCACUCGCAUUUGCGCAAGUAUUUGGGCAUGCAGAUCAUUGUGUGCGCACGGACCUUUUAAGCCUUGCAUCACAGUUCACAUGACUUGUAAACAAAUGAUAAACGUCAAAAUUUUUUACCGAACAAAAUAUAAUCUUUGCAAUGUAAAGUGAUUUGUUUAUAGUGUCGCGUAGAUUUAUAAACACAAUUCGAUCAUGAAAACCAGUGAUUUGUGUUUGAAAAAGGACAGUAAAUGUGCUGAAGUAAAUCGAAAUGCCAUAGUUUUCGAAAACAGUAAGCUAACCUAUGUGGGUCAAGACUGCUUGCGUAUUCCAUCUCCAUUGAUACAAGUGUAUGCACCAAGUGUGCAUUAUAUGGACCUUAGCUUCAACCAACUCUCAACUCUUCAGGGCCUUGAACAUUUCACCUUGUUGAAAGAACUGGUGUUGGACAACAACAAUUUAACAGAUACAUUGUGCCUGCCACGUUUGCAGCAUUUGCAUACACUUUCCCUCAAUAAGAAUAAUAUUGUCAACUUAGAGCUCCUGUUGAACAAAAUAUCAAAUAAUUUGUCAGCGUUACGGUACCUGAGCCUUUUGGGGAAUGUAGCAUGUCCAAAUCAGCUGUCAGACAUGGAAAAAGAUGAAGAGGACUACCAAAGAUACAGGUACUAUGUACUAUAUAGACUACCUAAUCUUCAGUUUCUUGAUUCAACAAAGGUAACAACUGAAGAGCGUUUGGAAGCUAGUCGCAGAGGUCAGUUGAUGAAGGUGGUCUGCCCCACAAAUGUGGAUACAUACUUUCUUCAAGUGCAAAACCCCUGUAUGCACGUACUGCAACUGUCGUCUGGAACCCACAGUGCUGCAACCCCCAUCUGUGCCUCGCCAUGCACAGGCUUCCUUCAUUCAUGAAUCGGACAAUAGUUCAGUUGCUUCAAUGACAGGAAGGUAGAGAUGACUCGCAUGCAACCUUCAAUUCCAAGUACACACCACUACCAGGUUCUAAGCGAAGUAUUGGAGAUCAUCAAGGUGCAUAUGGUAAAUGUCGGUAUCGCUACUCUGGGAAACACUCUGAAG
Molecule: unclassified non-coding RNA, 1058 nt
Filed under: Schistocerca americana (American grasshopper)
Lineage: Eukaryota; Metazoa; Arthropoda; Insecta; Orthoptera; Acrididae
Description: leucine-rich melanocyte differentiation-associated protein-like, transcript variant X1
Source: RNAcentral